AACGAACGCUGGCGGCAUGCCUAACACAUGCAAGUCGAACGAGACCUUCGGGUUUAGUGGCGCACGGGUGCGUAACGCGUGGGAACCUGCCUUUAGGUUCGGAAUAACUCAGAGAAAUUUGAGCUAAUACCGGAUGAUAUCUUCGGACCAAUGAUAUAUCGCCUUAAGAUGGGCCCGCGUUGGAUUAGCUAGUUGGUGGGGUAACGGCCUACCAAGGCGACGAUCCAUAGCUGGUCUGAGAGGAUGAUCAGCCACACUGGGACUGAGACACGGCCCAGACUCCUACGGGAGGCAGCAGUGGGGAAUAUUGGACAAUGGGCGAAAGCCUGAUCCAGCAAUGCCGCGUGAGUGAUGAAGGCCUUAGGGAUGUAAAGCUCUUUUAGCCGAGAUGAUAAUGACAGUAUCGGGAGAAUAAGCUCCGGCUAACUCCGUG
RNAcentral lists this ribosomal RNA (433 nucleotides) under uncultured bacterium. RNAcentral's name for it is "partial 16S ribosomal RNA". It matches the Rfam family "Bacterial small subunit ribosomal RNA", at positions 29 to 507 of the family's 1533-position model. The record is from RNAcentral.